RNAcentral lists this long non-coding RNA (376 nucleotides) under Haliotis rubra (blacklip abalone). Its description in RNAcentral is "uncharacterized LOC124268506, transcript variant X2". Lineage: Eukaryota; Metazoa; Mollusca; Gastropoda; Lepetellida; Haliotidae. The record is from RNAcentral.
CAGGAACUAAUUAACUAAUGCCUCUGUAAAGCAAACAGUCGAUCUCGGUCAGUGACCAUUCCUAUGCUUGUAUUCUGUGUGGAGUAACUGACACCGGAACUCCAUCAGACUGUUCAGUUGAGAUCAGGGAAGAACCUGUUUGCAUCCAAACCCACCUGAGUAACACAGUAGAAUGUUCGGUGUCUGGAGCGACCCCAGAGCUGAUGGGGAACAUGACUAGGCUACAAUACAACUCCUUCUUGGACAACUGUCAUUACUUCAUGGAGUGAGCUUGUGCGGAUACAGUUGUUCCACUGUGGUGAGAUUCGAAAUCGGAAACUAUCAAGACUACUGACUUACGAAUAAAUGAAAACUCACAUUGUCUCCCAUAUUGUUG